This 141-nucleotide unclassified non-coding RNA is filed under the name Rhodotorula taiwanensis. RNAcentral's name for it is "partial contains 18S rRNA, ITS1, 5.8S rRNA, ITS2 and 28S rRNA". Lineage: Eukaryota; Fungi; Basidiomycota; Microbotryomycetes; Sporidiobolales; Sporidiobolaceae. The record is from RNAcentral.
ACUUUCUAACCCUGUGCAUUUGUUUGGGGUACUAGCCUCUCGGGGCGAAUCCCUAUUCCCUUAUAAACACAAAGUCUAUGAAUGUAUUUAAUUUUAUACCAAAAUAAAACUUUCAAAAACGGAUCUCUUGGCUCUCGCAUC